AAGAAAUCAACAUUUACGGGUGUUCACAAAUUAAAAGGCAACCACCAGUAAUGUUCCACAACAAUGGCAACCAAACAAUGGUCUUAUUAUGACCAAUGAUAUCUCAGAUGUCAACCUUGAAGAAGCAGUGUUAUUCCAUUAUUAUUUUUUCAUGUUGAUACGAUCGUGGUGAAAAAUAAAAUCAGAAUAUUAGGUCUUGGAGACCUUGGAGUUCAGGGCAUUGGAAUUUCAAUAGG
This is a long non-coding RNA of Papaver somniferum (opium poppy), 236 nucleotides long. RefSeq lists it as uncharacterized. The transcript is spliced from 3 exons. NCBI's taxonomy places the organism in Eukaryota, Viridiplantae, Streptophyta, Magnoliopsida, Ranunculales, Papaveraceae. The record is from RefSeq and is a predicted model, not a curated record.